RNAcentral lists this ribosomal RNA (638 nucleotides) under Xylanibacter ruminicola. RNAcentral describes it as "bacterial SSU rRNA". It matches the Rfam family "Bacterial small subunit ribosomal RNA", at positions 317 to 969 of the family's 1533-position model. Lineage: Bacteria; Pseudomonadati; Bacteroidota; Bacteroidia; Bacteroidales; Prevotellaceae. The record is from RNAcentral.
GACUGAGACACGGUCCAAACUCCUACGGGAGGCAGCAGUGAGGAAUAUUGGUCAAUGGACGGAAGUCUGAACCAGCCAAGUAGCGUGCAGGAUGACGGCCCUAUGGGUUGUAAACUGCCUUUAUAUAGGAUAAAGUUGGGACGUGUCCCCGUUUGUAGGUACUAUAUGAAUAAGGACGGCUAAUUCCGUGCCAGCAGCCGCGGUAAUACGGAAGGUCCAGGCGUAUCCGGAUUUAUUGGUUUAAGGGACUGCAGGCUGAUGAUUAAGCGUGACGUGAAAUGAGCCGCUCAACGGCUGACCGCGUCGCGAACUGGUUAUCUUGAGUGAGUUGUGUUGGCGGAAUUCGUGGUGUAGCGGUGAAAUGCUUAGAUAUCACGAAGACUCCGAUUGCGAGGCAGCCAACAAGGCCUUUACUGAUGCUAAAGCUCGAAGUGCGGGUAUCGAACAGGAUUAGAUACCCUGGUAGUCCGCACGACAAACGAUGGAUGCCCGCUGUUUCGGAUAUACUGUGAGCGGCCAAGAGAAAUCGUUAAGCAUCCCACCUGGGGAGUACGCCGGCAACGGUGAAACUCACCGGAAUUGACGGGGGCCGCACAAGCGGAGCUACAUGUGGUUUAAUUCGAUGAUACGCGAGGAAC